Molecule: unclassified non-coding RNA, 380 nt
Filed under: soil metagenome
Description: partial contains 5.8S ribosomal RNA, internal transcribed spacer 2, and large subunit ribosomal RNA
Rfam family: 5.8S ribosomal RNA (bases 1-120)
Source: RNAcentral
GAUGAAGAACGUAGCGAAAUGCGAUAAUUAAUGUGAAUUGCAGAAUUUAGUGAAUCAUCGAGUCUUUGAACGCACAUUGCGCCUCAUGGUAUUCCGUGAGGCAUGCCUGUCUGAGCGUCAACAACACCACUCAAGCAUUGCUCUCUUGCUCUGCUUGGUCCAUGUCAGGGAAGCGGUUGGGCCUGUCCAACUGCCCCUUGAAAAGCAAUAGAUGGUCAGGUUGUCACCUUAAGCCAAACGUCAUAUGAUUCUUAUCGUUCGUUUGUCUAUCUGACUUCUUGACAGUUGUUGAACCCAACAGCACCAUGCUGUUUAUUCUGACUUGACCUCAGAUCAGGUAGGGAUACCCGCUGAACUUAAGCAUAUCAAUAAGCGGAGGA